RNAcentral lists this long non-coding RNA (208 nucleotides) under Elaeis guineensis (African oil palm). RNAcentral describes it as "long non-coding RNA (EGUI_LNC072567)". Lineage: Eukaryota; Viridiplantae; Streptophyta; Magnoliopsida; Arecales; Arecaceae. The record is from RNAcentral.
GGAUAUCUACUCAGAAUCAGCCUGGAUCAGUUUUCUUUGGUGUAGAUCUUUUUUCUCUAGGAACGAUCACCCUGCGAAUUUAAAUCAAGUCUGGAUUUUGAUCAACUCUUUAAUUCUUUCCUUGAUCUUCUUUUUCUCUUCUUUUCUUGAUCUCUUUUUCUUGAUUUUGCAGCAACUAAGAUCUGAAAAUCAACAAUCAAGAGAUGCU